This 640-nucleotide ribosomal RNA is filed under the name uncultured Methanomassiliicoccaceae archaeon. RNAcentral describes it as "bacterial SSU rRNA". It matches the Rfam family "Archaeal small subunit ribosomal RNA", at positions 339 to 981 of the family's 1478-position model. The record is from RNAcentral. Lineage: Archaea; Methanobacteriati; Thermoplasmatota; Thermoplasmata; Methanomassiliicoccales; Methanomassiliicoccaceae.
UCGCGAAAACUUCGCAAUGGGGGAAACCCCGACGAGGGGAUUCCAAGUGCCAGCACACUGUGUUGGCUGUUCUCCUGUCCAAAAAGCAGGAGGAGUAAGGGCCGGGUAAGACGGGUGCCAGCCGCCGCGGUAAUACCCGCGGCCCGAGUGGUGGUCGAUUUUAUUGAGCCUAAAACGUCCGUAGCCGGCCUGGUAAAUCCUUGGGUAAAUCGGGCAGCUUAACUGUCCGAAGUCCGGGGAGACUGCCAGGCUUGGGACCGGGAGAGGUCAGAGGUACUUCCGGGGUAGGGGUAAAAUCCUAUAAUCCUGGAAGGACCACCGGUGGCGAAGGCGUCUGACUAGAACGGAUCCGACGGUGAGGGACGAAGCCCUGGGGCGCAAACGGGAUUAGAUACCCCGGUAGUCCAGGGUGUAAACGCUGCGGGCUUGGUGUUGGGAGUCCUCUGAGGGCGCCCAGUGCCGGAGAGAAGUUGUUAAGCCUGCUGCUUGGGGAGUACGUCCGCAAGGAUGAAACUUAAAGGAAUUGGCGGGGGAGCACCGCAACGGGAGGAGCGUGCGGUUCAAUUGGAUUCAACGCCGGAAAACUCACCAGGGGCGACGGAUACAUGAAGGCCAGGCUGAUGACCUUGCCUGAUUAUCC